This 2406-nucleotide ribosomal RNA is filed under the name Escherichia coli. RNAcentral describes it as "bacterial LSU rRNA". It matches the Rfam family "Bacterial large subunit ribosomal RNA", at positions 430 to 2819 of the family's 2925-position model. Lineage: Bacteria; Pseudomonadati; Pseudomonadota; Gammaproteobacteria; Enterobacterales; Enterobacteriaceae. The record is from RNAcentral.
UAUCCUGUCUGAAUAUGGGGGGACCAUCCUCCAAGGCUAAAUACUCCUGACUGACCGAUAGUGAACCAGUACCGUGAGGGAAAGGCGAAAAGAACCCCGGCGAGGGGAGUGAAAAAGAACCUGAAACCGUGUACGUACAAGCAGUGGGAGCACAGAGCAAUCUGUGUGACUGCGUACCUUUUGUAUAAUGGGUCAGCGACUUAUAUUCUGUAGCAAGGUUAACCGAAUAGGGGAGCCGAAGGGAAACCGAGUCUUAACUGGGCGUUAAGUUGCAGGGUAUAGACCCGAAACCCGGUGAUCUAGCCAUGGGCAGGUUGAAGGUUGGGUAACACUAACUGGAGGACCGAACCGACUAAUGUUGAAAAAUUAGCGGAUGACUUGUGGCUGGGGGUGAAAGGCCAAUCAAACCGGGAGAUAGCUGGUUCUCCCCGAAAGCUAUUUAGGUAGCGCCUCGUGAAUUCAUCUCCGGGGGUAGAGCACUGUUUCGGCAAGGGGGUCAUCCCGACUUACCAACCCGAUGCAAACUGCGAAUACCGGAGAAUGUUAUCACGGGAGACACACGGCGGGUGCUAACGUCCGUCGUGAAGAGGGAAACAACCCAGACCGCCAGCUAAGGUCCCAAAGUCAUGGUUAAGUGGGAAACGAUGUGGGAAGGCCCAGACAGCCAGGAUGUUGGCUUAGAAGCAGCCAUCAUUUAAAGAAAGCGUAAUAGCUCACUGGUCGAGUCGGCCUGCGCGGAAGAUGUAACGGGGCUAAACCAUGCACCGAAGCUGCGGCAGCGACGCUGAUGCGUUGUUGGGUAGGGGAGCGUUCUGUAAGCCUGUGAAGGUGUGCUGUGAGGCAUGCUGGAGGUAUCAGAAGUGCGAAUGCUGACAUAAGUAACGAUAAAGCGGGUGAAAAGCCCGCUCGCCGGAAGACCAAGGGUUCCUGUCCAACGUUAAUCGGGGCAGGGUGAGUCGACCCCUAAGGCGAGGCCGAAAGGCGUAGUCGAUGGGAAACAGGUUAAUAUUCCUGUACUUGGUGUUACUGCGAAGGGGGGACGGAGAAGGCUAUGUUGGCCGGGCGACGGUUGUCCCGGUUUAAGCGUGUAGGCUGGUUUUCCAGGCAAAUCCGGAAAAUCAAGGCUGAGGCGUGAUGACGAGGCACUACGGUGCUGAAGCAACAAAUGCCCUGCUUCCAGGAAAAGCCUCUAAGCAUCAGGUAACAUCAAAUCGUACCCCAAACCGACACAGGUGGUCAGGUAGAGAAUACCAAGGCGCUUGAGAGAACUCGGGUGAAGGAACUAGGCAAAAUGGUGCCGUAACUUCGGGAGAAGGCACGCUGAUAUGUAGGUGAAGUCCCUCGCGGAUGGAGCUGAAAUCAGUCGAAGAUACCAGCUGGCUGCAACUGUUUAUUAAAAACACAGCACUGUGCAAACACGAAAGUGGACGUAUACGGUGUGACGCCUGCCCGGUGCCGGAAGGUUAAUUGAUGGGGUUAGCGCAAGCGAAGCUCUUGAUCGAAGCCCCGGUAAACGGCGGCCGUAACUAUAACGGUCCUAAGGUAGCGAAAUUCCUUGUCGGGUAAGUUCCGACCUGCACGAAUGGCGUAAUGAUGGCCAGGCUGUCUCCACCCGAGACUCAGUGAAAUUGAACUCGCUGUGAAGAUGCAGUGUACCCGCGGCAAGACGGAAAGACCCCGUGAACCUUUACUAUAGCUUGACACUGAACAUUGAGCCUUGAUGUGUAGGAUAGGUGGGAGGCUUUGAAGUGUGGACGCCAGUCUGCAUGGAGCCGACCUUGAAAUACCACCCUUUAAUGUUUGAUGUUCUAACGUUGACCCGUAAUCCGGGUUGCGGACAGUGUCUGGUGGGUAGUUUGACUGGGGCGGUCUCCUCCUAAAGAGUAACGGAGGAGCACGAAGGUUGGCUAAUCCUGGUCGGACAUCAGGAGGUUAGUGCAAUGGCAUAAGCCAGCUUGACUGCGAGCGUGACGGCGCGAGCAGGUGCGAAAGCAGGUCAUAGUGAUCCGGUGGUUCUGAAUGGAAGGGCCAUCGCUCAACGGAUAAAAGGUACUCCGGGGAUAACAGGCUGAUACCGCCCAAGAGUUCAUAUCGACGGCGGUGUUUGGCACCUCGAUGUCGGCUCAUCACAUCCUGGGGCUGAAGUAGGUCCCAAGGGUAUGGCUGUUCGCCAUUUAAAGUGGUACGCGAGCUGGGUUUAGAACGUCGUGAGACAGUUCGGUCCCUAUCUGCCGUGGGCGCUGGAGAACUGAGGGGGGCUGCUCCUAGUACGAGAGGACCGGAGUGGACGCAUCACUGGUGUUCGGGUUGUCAUGCCAAUGGCACUGCCCGGUAGCUAAAUGCGGAAGAGAUAAGUGCUGAAAGCAUCUAAGCACGAAACUUGCCCCGAGAUGAGUUCUCCCUGAC